UUUCUCUCUCUCGGUCUCUGUCUCUCGCUUUAUCUCUGUGUGUCUCCCCCCCCUCCCUCUCCCUCUCCCCCCCCCCUUGCACACACAGACACACACGUACACACACUUGUGAAAUCCGACCCCUGUUUAUCAGGGUCCCGCGCGCCCUUUGCACUUUUACGUUUCACUUAAUUCUUUCAGACUUGAUCGUGGCGGGGACCCGGGGGUGAAACAGCACCCCAGCCCUCGCCAGCUCCCCGCGAAGGGUUAAAUUUUAAACCGCGGGUGCUCAGACCUGCCCGGAAACCUAGGGUGGGGGCGGGGUGGGCGAUUCCUUCCCCCCCCUCCCCCGUGAAGAUGCCGAUAGCUAGUUCAAUUUUCAAGAUCAAUUCUUUUAGAGCUAAUGCCAGGGGAAAAAAAAGAGAGAAGGGAAAAGUAAGAAAAGUGGGGAGAAAGAAACCAACAACUCUGUUUCUAAGAUUUUAAAGAGAUAGGCGAGUCUCAGAACCGAGAUUUAUUUGGGGAAAGCGAGAGUGCGCUGGGCGCACUCGGUCUCUGGAAGCGCAGCCCGCCUGGUUGGAAGUGGGGACUGUCGAUCUCGCCGUUAAUGAAAUGCGUUCUGUUUUAAUCAUAUUUCUUUUACUUUAUGGGAUGGGGACACGCUAGGAGGGUGGACACACACACAAAUAUUCGGCAAAGCCUGCAGAAGGAUGGAGGAGCGAAAACUAUUGUUGGCCGGAGUUGGUUUUUACCUCGACAGCGCCACCUUUCGGCAAAGCUUUGGCAUCUCUUCAGAUCUCCAGUGGCAUCUACUAUGCGCUGCAAUUAUCCAGCUUCACCUGAGGAAGAAUAGAAUUUCCAUGAACAAAUUCGAGCUUUCACAAGGCCUCAUCGUGAUGGGAGAAGUUGCCUGGCUAGAAGUUCAUCUGAAUGGGCUCAUUCUUAGUGGUCUCCAUGUUGAUCUAUGAGAGUCUCCUGAUUUGGAUGGAAUUCAUCUCUUCAGGUUUCAAGGGUGCCUCUAGACCCAGUUUAGGGGCCAAUGUGCCCUUUUGAGGCAACAGAGAGUGCCACAUGCCCUUUCAAAGCAUUGUACUCAUCGUUCUGCAAUAUGCUGAUCUCCUCCGGCUAUGAGAGAUCAAAUUUGACUGGCCAGUCACCUAAUUUCCUCAAAUACAGUGCUGUAUUUUAAUGGCAAG
RNAcentral lists this long non-coding RNA (1175 nucleotides) under Dasypus novemcinctus (nine-banded armadillo). RNAcentral describes it as "lncRNA (ENSDNOG00000050978.1)". The record is from RNAcentral. Lineage: Eukaryota; Metazoa; Chordata; Mammalia; Cingulata; Dasypodidae.